AAUUGAAUACUAGAAAUAGGUUGAUUUAUGGAAUUUUUUUAAUAGCUUCAUAGAUCAUUAAAAGGGAAGUCCGGUGAGAUGCCGGCGCGGUCCCGCCACUGUAAUUGGGAGUUUCUAUUCUAUACCACUGUCUUUGGACGGGAAGGUAAUAGUAAACGUUGAUCAAGAGCCAGGAGACCUGCCUGUUUUGGAGUCAUUCA
This 200-nucleotide non-coding RNA is filed under the name Virgibacillus sp. SK37. The record is from RNAcentral. Lineage: Bacteria; Bacillati; Bacillota; Bacilli; Caryophanales; Bacillaceae.